AUAUUCCUGGUGCGGGUGCCCUCAUAGGAUAGAGGAUCAACACCCUUGAAUCCUGGAGCUGGAGUUAUAGACAGUUGACAGACAAGGAACUGUUUUUGUAUUAUAUGAAUCUCUGAAGAGACACAGGUUUGGCAUGUUAACAAUCGGUGUGGAUCUCCAGGGGGUCCUCAUGACCUUUGCUCGAAAUCUCUUCAUCAUCCAUCAAGAAAUAUCAGCACCUAAUAUGCAAGGCGAGAGCAAUUUUAAG
This is a long non-coding RNA of Grammomys surdaster, 247 nucleotides long. RefSeq lists it as uncharacterized. The record is from RefSeq and is a predicted model, not a curated record. The transcript is spliced from 3 exons. NCBI's taxonomy places the organism in Eukaryota, Metazoa, Chordata, Mammalia, Rodentia, Muridae.